Molecule: ribosomal RNA, 373 nt
Filed under: uncultured bacterium
Lineage: Bacteria
Description: bacterial SSU rRNA
Rfam family: Bacterial small subunit ribosomal RNA
Source: RNAcentral
AUUGAACGCUGGCGGCAUGCCUUACACAUGCAAGUCGAACGGCAGCACGGGAGCAAUCCUGGUGGCGAGUGGCGAACGGGUGAGUAAUAUAUCGGAACGUGCCCAGUCGUGGGGAUAACGUAGCGAAAGCUACGCUAAUACCGCAUACGAUCUACGGAUGAAAGCGGGGGAUCGCAAGACCUCGCGCGAUUGGAGCGGCCGAUAUCAGAUUAGGUAGUUGGUGAGGUAAAGGCUCACCAAGCCGACGAUCUGUAGCUGGUCUGAGAGGACGACCAGCCACACUGGGACUGAGACACGGCCCAGACUCCUACGGGAGGCAGCAGUGGGGAAUUUUGGACAAUGGGCGCAAGCCUGAUCCAGCAAUGCCGCGUGC